GUACACAGCCAUGUCACCCUGCAGCCCAAGACUGAAGCUAAGCAGGGCUGAGCCUGGUCAGUACCUGAAUGGGAGACCACAUGGAAAAACUAGAUUGGUGUUAGAU
Molecule: ribosomal RNA, 106 nt
Filed under: Danio rerio (zebrafish)
Lineage: Eukaryota; Metazoa; Chordata; Actinopteri; Cypriniformes; Danionidae
Source: RNAcentral